RNAcentral lists this ribosomal RNA (465 nucleotides) under Vreelandella stevensii. RNAcentral describes it as "partial 16S ribosomal RNA". It matches the Rfam family "Bacterial small subunit ribosomal RNA", at positions 338 to 795 of the family's 1533-position model. Lineage: Bacteria; Pseudomonadati; Pseudomonadota; Gammaproteobacteria; Oceanospirillales; Halomonadaceae. The record is from RNAcentral.
CCUACGGGCGGCAGCAGUGGGGAAUAUUGGACAAUGGGCGAAAGCCUGAUCCAGCCAUGCCGCGUGUGUGAAAAAGGCCUUCGGGUUGUAAAGCACUUUCAGUGGGGAAGAAAGCCUUGGGGCUAAUACCCUCGAGGAAGGACAUCACCCACAGAAGAAGCACCGGCUAACUCCGUGCCAGCAGCCGCGGUAAUACGGAGGGUGCGAGCGUUAAUCGGAAUUACUGGGCGUAAAGCGCGCGUAGGCGGUCUGAUAAGCCGGUUGUGAAAGCCCCGGGCUCAACCUGGGAACGGCAUCCGGAACUGUCAGGCUAGAGUGCAGGAGAGGAAGGUAGAAUUCCCGGUGUAGCGGUGAAAUGCGUAGAGAUCGGGAGGAAUACCAGUGGCGAAGGCGGUCUUCUGGACUGACACUGACGCUGAGGUGCGAAAGCGUGGGUAGCAAACAGGAUUAGAUACCCGUGUAGUC